GUCGCUGUCAAUCCAGCGACCUGGGAUUGGCGUCCCGGAACAAACGGGCGGUCACGACACCGCUGAACAGCGGUUUUUUU
RNAcentral lists this small RNA (80 nucleotides) under Pseudomonas sp. OF001. RNAcentral's name for it is "isrK". It matches the Rfam family "isrK Hfq binding RNA". Lineage: Bacteria; Pseudomonadati; Pseudomonadota; Gammaproteobacteria; Pseudomonadales; Pseudomonadaceae. The record is from RNAcentral.